AUUGAACGCUGGCGGCAUGCUUUACACAUGCAAGUCGAACGGUAACAGGGUGCUUGCACCGCUGACGAGUGGCGAACGGGUGAGUAAUGCGUCGGAACGUGCCGAGUAGUGGGGGAUAACGCAGCGAAAGUUGUGCUAAUACAGCAUACGUACUGAGGUAGAAAGUGGGGGACCUUCGGGCCUCACGCUAUUCGAGCGGCCGACGUCUGAUUAGCUAGUAGGUGAGGUAAAGGCUCACCCAGGCGACGAUCAGUAGCGGGUCUGAGAGGAUGAUCCGCCACACUGGGACUGAGACACGGCCCAGACUCCUACGGGAGGCAGCAGUGGGGAAUUUUGGACAAUGGGCGAAAGCCUGAUCCAGCCAUGCCGCGUGUCUGAAGUAGGCCUUCGGGUUGUAAAGGACUUUUGUCAGGGAGGAAAUCCCUAGUGCUAAUAACACUGGGGGAUGACAGUACCUGAAGAAUAAGCACCGGCUAACUACGUGCCAGCAGCCGCCGUAA
Molecule: ribosomal RNA, 500 nt
Filed under: uncultured bacterium
Lineage: Bacteria
Description: partial 16S ribosomal RNA
Rfam family: Bacterial small subunit ribosomal RNA
Source: RNAcentral